GGUGAAAAGCACCCCGGAAGGGGAGUGAAAUAGAACCUGAAACCGUGUGCUUACAAGUAGUCAGAGCCCGUUAAUGGGUGAUGGCGUGCCUUUUGUAGAAUGAACCGGCGAGUUACGAUUUGAUGCAAGGUUAAGCAGUAAAUGUGGAGCCGUAGCGAAAGCGAGUCUGAAUAGGGCGUUUAGUAUUUGGUCGUAGACCCGAAACCAGGUGAUCUACCCUUGGUCAGGUUGAAGUUCAGGUAACACUGAAUGGAGGACCGAACCGACUUACGUUGAAAAGUGAGCGGAUGAACUGAGGGUAGCGGAGAAAUUCCAAUCGAACCUGGAGAUAGCUGGUUCUCUCCGAAAUAGCUUUAGGGCUAGCCUCAAGUGAUGAUUAUUGGAGGUAGAGCACUGUUUGGACGAGGGGCCCCUCUCGGGUUACCGAAUUCAGACAAACUCCGAAUGCCAAUUAAUUUAACUUGGGAGUCAGAACAUGGGUGAUAAGGUCCGUGUUCGAAAGGGAAACAGCCCAGACCACCAGCUAAGGUCCCAAAAUAUAUGUUAAGUGGAAAAGGAUGUGGCGUUGCCCAGACAACUAGGAUGUUGGCUUAGAAGCAGCCAUCAUUUAAAGAGUGCGUAAUAGCUCACUAGUCGAGUGACACUGCGCCGAAAAUGUACCGGGGCUAAACAUAUUACCGAAGCUGUGGAUUGUCCUUUGGACAAUGGUAGGAGAGCGUUCUAAGGGCGUUGAAGCAUGAUCGUAAGGACAUGUGGAGCGCUUAGAAGUGAGAAUGCCGGUGUGAGUAGCGAAAGACGGGUGAGAAUCCCGUCCACCGAUUGACUAAGGUUUCCAGAGGAAGGCUCGUCCGCUCUGGGUUAGUCGGGUCCUAAGCUGAGGCCGACAGGCGUAGGCGAUGGAUAACAGGUUGAUAUUCCUGUACCACCUAUAAUC
This 934-nucleotide ribosomal RNA is filed under the name Staphylococcus aureus. Its description in RNAcentral is "partial 23S ribosomal RNA". It matches the Rfam family "Bacterial large subunit ribosomal RNA", at positions 513 to 1455 of the family's 2925-position model. Lineage: Bacteria; Bacillati; Bacillota; Bacilli; Caryophanales; Staphylococcaceae. The record is from RNAcentral.